Molecule: ribosomal RNA, 497 nt
Filed under: uncultured bacterium
Lineage: Bacteria
Description: partial 16S ribosomal RNA
Rfam family: Bacterial small subunit ribosomal RNA
Source: RNAcentral
GAUGAACGCUGGCGGCGUGCCUAAUACAUGCAGGUCGAGCGAACGGACGAGAAGCUUGCUUCUCUGAUGUUAGCGGCGGACGGGUGAGUAACACGUGGAUAACCUACCUAUAAGACUGGGAUAACUUCGGGAAACCGGAGCUAAUACCGGAUAAUAUUUUGAACCGCAUGGUUCAAAAGUGAAAGACGGUCUUGCUGUCACUUAUAGAUGGAUCCGCGCUGCAUUAGCUAGUUGGUAAGGUAACGGCCUACCAAGGCAACGAUGCAUAGCCGACCUGAGAGGGUGAUCGGCCACACUGGAACUGAGACACGGUCCAGACUCCUACGGGAGGCAGCAGUAGGGAAUCUUCCGCAAAGGGCGAAAGCCUGACGGAGCAACGCCGCGUGAGUGAUGAAGGUCUUCGGAUCGUAAAACUCUGUUAUUAGGGAAGAACAUAUGUGUAAGUAACUGUGCACAUCUUGACGGUACCUAAUCAGAAAGCCACGGCUAACUACGUG